RNAcentral lists this ribosomal RNA (1015 nucleotides) under Campylobacter jejuni Cj2. Its description in RNAcentral is "bacterial SSU rRNA". It matches the Rfam family "Bacterial small subunit ribosomal RNA", at positions 522 to 1533 of the family's 1533-position model. Lineage: Bacteria; Pseudomonadati; Campylobacterota; Epsilonproteobacteria; Campylobacterales; Campylobacteraceae. The record is from RNAcentral.
AAUACGGAGGGUGCAAGCGUUACUCGGAAUCACUGGGCGUAAAGGGCGCGUAGGCGGAUUAUCAAGUCUCUUGUGAAAUCUAAUGGCUUAACCAUUAAACUGCUUGGGAAACUGAUAGUCUAGAGUGAGGGAGAGGCAGAUGGAAUUGGUGGUGUAGGGGUAAAAUCCGUAGAUAUCACCAAGAAUACCCAUUGCGAAGGCGAUCUGCUGGAACUCAACUGACGCUAAGGCGCGAAAGCGUGGGGAGCAAACAGGAUUAGAUACCCUGGUAGUCCACGCCCUAAACGAUGUACACUAGUUGUUGGGGUGCUAGUCAUCUCAGUAAUGCAGCUAACGCAUUAAGUGUACCGCCUGGGGAGUACGGUCGCAAGAUUAAAACUCAAAGGAAUAGACGGGGACCCGCACAAGCGGUGGAGCAUGUGGUUUAAUUCGAAGAUACGCGAAGAACCUUACCUGGGCUUGAUAUCCUAAAGAACCUUUUAGAGAUAAGAGGGUGCUAGCUUGCUAGAACUUAGAGACAGGUGCUGCACGGCUGUCGUCAGCUCGUGUCGUGAGAUGUUGGGUUAAGUCCCGCAACGAGCGCAACCCACGUAUUUAGUUGCUAACGGUUCGGCCGAGCACUCUAAAUAGACUGCCUUCGUAAGGAGGAGGAAGGUGUGGACGACGUCAAGUCAUCAUGGCCCUUAUGCCCAGGGCGACACACGUGCUACAAUGGCAUAUACAAUGAGACGCAAUACCGCGAGGUGGAGCAAAUCUAUAAAAUAUGUCCCAGUUCGGAUUGUUCUCUGCAACUCGAGAGCAUGAAGCCGGAAUCGCUAGUAAUCGUAGAUCAGCCAUGCUACGGUGAAUACGUUCCCGGGUCUUGUACUCACCGCCCGUCACACCAUGGGAGUUGAUUUCACUCGAAGCCGGAAUACUAAACUAGUUACCGUCCACAGUGGAAUCAGCGACUGGGGUGAAGUCGUAACAAGGUAACCGUAGGAGAACCUGCGGUUGGAUCACCUCCUUUCUAGAG